GAUUCGUAAUAUGGAUUUAAGAACUGUGCUCGAUAUUGACGGAUAUGGGAACCCCUGCGGUGGUAAAUGCUCUGCACGAGCUGCGAAACUACCGAAAAUGCUUAUUGUUCGAACGAAACGUUGCAGUUCUUCUUUGCUGACUCAUUGCAGUUGGUGUUGUGUGCCCGAUUACUCGAGUAUUAUCCAACACAAUUUUGAAAUUUUUCUUGUUCCGAAGAAGAAGAAGAAGAA
RNAcentral lists this long non-coding RNA (231 nucleotides) under Polistes fuscatus (common paper wasp). RNAcentral describes it as "uncharacterized LOC122525403". The record is from RNAcentral. Lineage: Eukaryota; Metazoa; Arthropoda; Insecta; Hymenoptera; Vespidae.